This 21-nucleotide non-coding RNA is filed under the name Caenorhabditis elegans. Lineage: Eukaryota; Metazoa; Nematoda; Chromadorea; Rhabditida; Rhabditidae. The record is from RNAcentral.
UCAUAAGAUCUUUCCCCUGCU